AUUCCAGCUCCAAUAGCGUAUAUUAAAGUUGUUGCGGUAAAAAAGCUCGUAGUUGGAUUUCUGUUGAGGGCGACCGGUCCAUACAACGUAUGCGUAUCUGGCUCGGCCUCGGCAUCCUCUCGAUAGACGUUUCUGCGCUUGAUUGCGUGGAGCGGAUCUCGGGACUUUUACUUUGAGGAAAUUAGAGUGUUCACGGCAGGCUAUCGCCAGAAUACAUUAGCAUGGAAUAAUACUAUAGGAUCUUGGUUCUAUUUUGUUGGUUUCUAGAAUUGAGAUAAUGAUUAAUAGGGACAAUUGGGGGCAUUCGUAUCAACACGUCAGAGGUGGAAUUCUUGGAUUGUGUUGCGACGAACUACUGCGAAAGCAUUUGCCAAGGAUGUUUUCAUCA
RNAcentral lists this ribosomal RNA (388 nucleotides) under Syndiniales sp. RNAcentral's name for it is "partial small subunit ribosomal RNA". It matches the Rfam family "Eukaryotic small subunit ribosomal RNA", at positions 582 to 975 of the family's 1831-position model. Lineage: Eukaryota; Dinophyceae; Syndiniales. The record is from RNAcentral.